RNAcentral lists this transfer RNA (70 nucleotides) under Marmota monax (woodchuck). RNAcentral describes it as "tRNA.Thr". Lineage: Eukaryota; Metazoa; Chordata; Mammalia; Rodentia; Sciuridae. The record is from RNAcentral.
GGGCUGGGGCUUAGUGGUAGAGCGCUUGUCUAGUACAUGUGGGGCCCUGGGUUUAAUCCUCAGCACCACA